RNAcentral lists this non-coding RNA (30 nucleotides) under Rattus norvegicus (Norway rat). The record is from RNAcentral. Lineage: Eukaryota; Metazoa; Chordata; Mammalia; Rodentia; Muridae.
UGUGAAUGAACGCCAGUGAGAUUCAGCAGC